AGGAUAAACGCUGGCGGCGUGCCUAAUACAUGCAAGUCGAGCGGCAGCGCGGUCUUCGGACUGGCGGCGAGCGGCGGACGGCUGAGUAACACGUAGGAACGUACCCCAAAGUGAGGGAUAAGCACCAGAAAUGGUGUCUAAUACCGCAUGUGCUCUAAGGAGUAAAGCUUCGGCGCUUUGGGAACGGCCUACGCAUGAUUAGCUUGUUGGUGAGGUAAUGGCUCACCAAGGCGACGAUCAUUAGCUGGUCUGAGAGGAUGAUCAGCCAGACUGGGACUGAGAACGGCCCAGACUCCUACGGGAGGCAGCAGUAGGGAAUUUUCCACAAUGGGCGAAAGCCUGAUGGAGCAGCGCCGCGUGCAGGAUGAAGGCCUUAGGGUUGUAAACUGCUUUUAUGUGUGACGAAUAUGACGGUAGCAUAUGAAUAAGGAUCGGCUAACUCCGUGCCAGCAGCCGCGGU
RNAcentral lists this ribosomal RNA (460 nucleotides) under uncultured bacterium. Its description in RNAcentral is "SSU rRNA". It matches the Rfam family "Bacterial small subunit ribosomal RNA", at positions 26 to 521 of the family's 1533-position model. The record is from RNAcentral.